GACGAACGCUGGCGGCGUGCUUAACACAUGCAAGUCGAACGGAAAGGCCCUGCUUUUGUGGGGUGCUCGAGUGGCGAACGGGUGAGUAACACGUGAGUAACCUGCCCUUGACUUUGGGAUAACUUCAGGAAACUGGGGCUAAUACCGGCUAGGAGCUCCUGCUGCAUGGUGGGGGUGGGAAAGUUUCGGCGGUUGGGGAUGGACUCGCGGCUUAUCAGCUUGUUGGUGGGGUAGUGGAUUACCAAGGCUUUGACGGGUAGCCGGCCUGAGAGGGUGACCGGCCACAUUGCGACUGAGAUACGGCCCAGACUCCUACGGGAGGCAGCAGUGGGGAAUAGUGCACAAUGGGCGGAAGCCUGGUGCAGCAACGCCGCGUGCGGGAUGACGGCCUUCGGGUUGUAUACCGCUUUCGCCUGUGACGAAGCGUGAGUGACGGUAAUGGGUAAAGAAGCACCGGCUAACUACGUG
This 468-nucleotide ribosomal RNA is filed under the name uncultured bacterium. RNAcentral's name for it is "partial 16S ribosomal RNA". It matches the Rfam family "Bacterial small subunit ribosomal RNA", at positions 28 to 507 of the family's 1533-position model. The record is from RNAcentral.